This 124-nucleotide non-coding RNA is filed under the name Platyophrya macrostoma. The record is from RNAcentral. Lineage: Eukaryota; Ciliophora; Colpodea; Cyrtolophosidida; Platyophryidae.
GAACAAAGAAAAGUGAAGGCGGAAAGUUUAUUUUUUCUUUUGAUGUGCAUUGUGGUUUGCAACCCGGGAAACGAAAAAAAAAACCCUAGAAAAAAAACUUCUGAACCUGGUGGUUACAGUUCAU